This 254-nucleotide ribosomal RNA is filed under the name uncultured bacterium. Its description in RNAcentral is "partial 16S ribosomal RNA". It matches the Rfam family "Bacterial small subunit ribosomal RNA", at positions 526 to 779 of the family's 1533-position model. The record is from RNAcentral.
CGGAGGGAGCUAGCGUUGUUCGGAAUUACUGGGCGUAAAGCGCACGUAGGCGGCUACUCAAGUCAGAGGUGAAAGCCCGGGGCUCAACCCCGGAACUGCCUUUGAAACUAGGUGGCUAGAAUCUUGGAGAGGCGAGUGGAAUUCCGAGUGUAGAGGUGAAAUUCGUAGAUAUUCGGAAGAACACCAGUGGCGAAGGCGACUCGCUGGACAAGUAUUGACGCUGAGGUGCGAAAGCGUGGGGAGCAAACAGGAUU